RNAcentral lists this ribosomal RNA (1226 nucleotides) under Escherichia coli. RNAcentral's name for it is "partial 23S ribosomal RNA". It matches the Rfam family "Bacterial large subunit ribosomal RNA", at positions 161 to 1425 of the family's 2925-position model. Lineage: Bacteria; Pseudomonadati; Pseudomonadota; Gammaproteobacteria; Enterobacterales; Enterobacteriaceae. The record is from RNAcentral.
AAUCCAUAGGUUAAUGAGGCGAACCGGGGGAACUGAAACAUCUAAGUACCCCGAGGAAAAGAAAUCAACCGAGAUUCCCCCAGUAGCGGCGAGCGAACGGGGAGCAGCCCAGAGCCUGAAUCAGUGUGUGUGUUAGUGGAAGCGUCUGGAAAGGCGCGCGAUACAGGGUGACAGCCCCGUACACAAAAAUGCACAUGCUGUGAGCUCGAUGAGUAGGGCGGGACACGUGGUAUCCUGUCUGAAUAUGGGGGGACCAUCCUCCAAGGCUAAAUACUCCUGACUGACCGAUAGUGAACCAGUACCGUGAGGGAAAGGCGAAAAGAACCCCGGCGAGGGGAGUGAAAAAGAACCUGAAACCGUGUACGUACAAGCAGUGGGAGCACGCUUAGGCGUGUGACUGCGUACCUUUUGUAUAAUGGGUCAGCGACUUAUAUUCUGUAGCAAGGUUAACCGAAUAGGGGAGCCGAAGGGAAACCGAGUCUUAACUGGGCGUUAAGUUGCAGGGUAUAGACCCGAAACCCGGUGAUCUAGCCAUGGGCAGGUUGAAGGUUGGGUAACACUAACUGGAGGACCGAACCGACUAAUGUUGAAAAAUUAGCGGAUGACUUGUGGCUGGGGGUGAAAGGCCAAUCAAACCGGGAGAUAGCUGGUUCUCCCCGAAAGCUAUUUAGGUAGCGCCUCGUGAAUUCAUCUCCGGGGGUAGAGCACUGUUUCGGCAAGGGGGUCAUCCCGACUUACCAACCCGAUGCAAACUGCGAAUACCGGAGAAUGUUAUCACGGGAGACACACGGCGGGUGCUAACGUCCGUCGUGAAGAGGGAAACAACCCAGACCGCCAGCUAAGGUCCCAAAGUCAUGGUUAAGUGGGAAACGAUGUGGGAAGGCCCAGACAGCCAGGAUGUUGGCUUAGAAGCAGCCAUCAUUUAAAGAAAGCGUAAUAGCUCACUGGUCGAGUCGGCCUGCGCGGAAGAUGUAACGGGGCUAAACCAUGCACCGAAGCUGCGGCAGCGACGCUUAUGCGUUGUUGGGUAGGGGAGCGUUCUGUAAGCCUGCGAAGGUGUGCUGUGAGGCAUGCUGGAGGUAUCAGAAGUGCGAAUGCUGACAUAAGUAACGAUAAAGCGGGUGAAAAGCCCGCUCGCCGGAAGACCAAGGGUUCCUGUCCAACGUUAAUCGGGGCAGGGUGAGUCGACCCCUAAGGCGAGGCCGAAAGGCGUAGUCGAUGGGAAA